AUACGGAGGAUCCGAGCGUUAUCCGGAUUUAUUGGGUUUAAAGGGAGCGUAGGCGGACGCUUAAGUCAGUUGUGAAAGUUUGCGGCUCAACCGUAAAAUUGCAGUUGAUACUGGGUGUCUUGAGUACAGUAGAGGCAGGCGGAAUUCGUGGUGUAGCGGUGAAAUUCUUAGAUAUCACGAAGAACUCCGAUUGCGAAGGCAGCCUGCUGGACUGUAACUGACGCUGAUGCGCGAAAGUGUGGGUAUCAAACAGGAUUAGAUUCCCUGGUAGUCCACACAGUAAACGAUGAAUACUCGCUGUUUGCGAUAUACAGUAAGCGGCCAAGCGAAAGCGUUAAGUAUUCCACCUGGGGAGUACGCCGGCAACGGUGAAACUCAAAUGAAUUGACGGGG
This 393-nucleotide ribosomal RNA is filed under the name uncultured bacterium. RNAcentral describes it as "partial 16S ribosomal RNA". It matches the Rfam family "Bacterial small subunit ribosomal RNA", at positions 523 to 918 of the family's 1533-position model. The record is from RNAcentral.